GUCAGAAUUCAUCAUAUAAAAAUAUUCAUUUUAUUUACAUGACUUUUAUAUGAUGAAUUCUGACCU
This 66-nucleotide microRNA precursor is filed under the name Oreochromis niloticus (Nile tilapia). RNAcentral describes it as "microRNA oni-mir-10836 precursor". Lineage: Eukaryota; Metazoa; Chordata; Actinopteri; Cichliformes; Cichlidae. The record is from miRBase by way of RNAcentral.